Molecule: ribosomal RNA, 253 nt
Filed under: uncultured bacterium
Lineage: Bacteria
Description: partial 16S ribosomal RNA
Rfam family: Bacterial small subunit ribosomal RNA
Source: RNAcentral
UACGUAGGGGGCAAGCGUUGUCCGGAAUUAUUGGGCGUAAAGAGCUUGUAGGCGGUUUGUCGCGUCUGCCGUGAAAAUCCGGGGCUCAACCCCGGACUUGCAGUGGGUACGGGCAGACUGGAGUGUGGUAGGGGAGACUGGAAUUCCUGGUGUAGCGGUGGAAUGCGCAGAUAUCAGGAGGAACACCGAUGGCGAAGGCAGGUCUCUGGGCCACUACUGACGCUGAGAAGCGAAAGCAUGGGGAGCGAACAGG